UUCGGGAGAAGGUGAGAGUGGCUCCCAUUAAUGACAAGAUGUAGGAAGCGAGGCUCAGAUGGUUCGGAUACGUUUAAAAGAGAAGCCCAGAUGCUCCGAUAAGGAGGUGUGAGCGGCUGGCUUUGGAGGGCAUGAGAAGAGGUAGAGGAUGACCUAAGAAGCAUUGGGGAAAGGUGAUCAUGCAGGACAUGGGCUUCAGAUUUUCGAGGACAUGGCCCUUGAUAGAAAGCUGUGAAGGUCGAGUAUUAGGGUUGUAGGUUAGGAGGUAGUUGAGUCUUUCCUUACUUUGUACCUUUAUGAGGCUAGUCUGGUAGGAUUUUUGUCAGAGUCAGUUAGGGUAAUGGUGGUACUGAUAUUGUCUUUUUUCGUCUUCAUGAGCCAAGGAUCUUUUGGAAAUAGCUUCUCUACUCCCUCGGGGUAGGGGUAAGGUCUGCUUUCACACUACCCUUCUCAGACCUCACUAGUAGGAUUUUAAUAGGUCGUAGUCGUUCUUAUUGUCUAUGUUUAAAAAUGCACAAAAUGCAACUAAAUGCAAACGAAGAAUUAAAAAGAAAUUCCUAAAAUUCUAUAAAAAUCAAAACAACUAGAAAAAGCUUAUUUAUAUUUUUUUUAUUUUGUGGGAGUAUUUUCAUCGGGCAAAAUUUACGUGCUCACAGCUAUCCCUCAUUUCUCGAAAACAUGAAGAGUUUUUGGGCAAAGAUAAAGUGAGCAAUUACGAGCAAUUUUUUGCCCAUUUGACUACUCCAUUCGGAAACAUUUUGAAAAAGUUUGACCGGACCUUGCUUCAGAGGUUUCCUACAUAUCCUUCGUGAUAAAGUAUUAUGCCCCGCAGUAUUACGUCAAUGUUAUGCACCGUAGUAUUAUAUUACGAUGAUUUUACGCCUCGCAGUAUUAUAUUAUGAUGAUGUUACACCCUGCAGUAUUACGUCGAUGUUACGUUUCGUAGCAUUAUAUUACGACGAUGUUACACCCUGUAGUAUUGUACGUUGAAUUUGUCAUAAGAUAAUUGACAUUAGUUCAAGGACAAGAUUAUUUGGAGAUUAUAAGUAUUAUGCUGUUUCAAGCAAGUUCGUGAAGGUGAGAAAGUAAGCAAGUCGAAGAAAAUGAGUUUCAUUGAAGAUUUUCGAGUUGGGAUAAACAAACGAUCCGAGCUAUAGUGCCUAGUAUUUAUGGAUUAGUUCCAUACAAGGUACUAUAUGACCAUGAUAGUAAGGUGUAUAAGGUAUGUUAAAAGUGAGUAGCAUUUUAAGUAAGUUGAGAUAAUUCUUAAUUAAGUGGGUAAUUGGUCAAUUAUUGGGUAACGGGAUAUUACCUAAUUAACUAAGAAAUUAUGGGAUAAGAUUAAACUCCCCCCCCCCUCCCAAAAAAACGUGGUAGCAACCCAUCACUUAUAAAGUGACUCUUAAAGUCUUGCAUAGAUGUCACAUUUUGGAGGAUUUAAAGUGGAUUAGUCAUCCACUAAGUGGACCACCCCCACUAAAGGUUUCCUACAACUACUAAGAUUUUUAUUCCUUAGUAACAAAGGAUUAAAGAUCGAGAAUUGAAUUGAAUCUCUUAGGGAGUGGGCUGAUAGUGAGUUUACAUCUUACUACAAUUAGUUUUCUUCAUGUUUCGUAAUAUGAAUUCAUGUGUGCCUUAAAAUCCAAUUGAAUCUCUUAUAGAGAGUGGCUGGUCGUGAGUUCUUCAAAGAGCAAAACAAUCCAUACCAAAAAUAGAUAAUGUUCGUUGUUGAUUUUGUAAAGCGUGAAUUGAAAAUUCUAAGAUAAUCGGUUCAAGUAUGUUAAGGUUAUCCCUUCUUUAUUUUGGCAUGCUCUAUAUGACACAAAUAAAACGAGCAAAUGCACAACUUCCAAAAAUGACUAAUUUCGUAGAAAUGCUACAGAUGUGUAUAUUCUUGUUUUUCCAUAAGUCUUAUUAUUCUAUCAUUUGUUCAUGGGUCUCAGAAAAUACGUAAGGUGAUAAAGUUUAUUUCAUGAUAUUAAUCAGAGGCAUAAUGGUCUUAUGACACUCCGAAAGAUUUUAUUGGCAUACUUCUCUUACAUUGCAUUCAUUUAUAUUGACCCAUGGCCAGAUGGCGUUAUAUAUGUGUAUGUAUAUAUAUAUAUAUAUAUAUAUAUAUAUAUAUAUGGUAAAAGGUUAUGGCGUUAUAUAUGCACCACCACCUGAUCAACUGGUAUACGUUGAUGAUUUGCUGAGAGUGGCCGAGAUGAUAUGAUGGGAUGCCCUCAGAGGCUUGAUGAUGUUAUGAAUGCAUAUACCCAUGCAUGGUAUGACAUUUAUAUGCAUAUGCAUGACAUUAUAAUAUAAAAUAAUUCACAGAGCUAUUCAGAUAUACAUGUUGAGUCUUUUACUAUAUGUUUCUCUCAUGUCUAUUGUUUACUAAUUUUCAUUCCUUACGUACUCGGUACAUUAUUUGUACUGAUGUCCCUUUUUCCUGGGGGCGCUGCGUUUCAUGCACGCAGGUCCCGAUAGACAAGUUGAGAUUCCUCCAAGUAGGCUAUCAGCUCAGCGGAAGAUGUUGGUGUGCUCUAUUUGCUCCGGAGUUGCUUAUUUGUUUAGUAUGAUUUAGACAUGUAUUGAUUAGUAUAUCGGGGCCCUGUCCUGGCCUUAUGAUGUUUAUGUACUCUUAAAGGCUUCUUGACGUAUGUCAUGUAUAUGAAAUAAUGCAUGACCUUGUCGGCCUAUGUUCAGUGUACGAGUGAUUAUUUUGGCCUUAUAGGCCUGUACGUCAUAUGUAUAAGUUAGUAUAUCAGGCUGGGUCGUUUUAUGUCGAGUGUUCCCUCAUGUUUUAUUCUUGUUAACCCAUACGGCCCUUCUAGCCCAUUUACCCACGUUGAUGUAAUGAGAAAUAUACAUUACGGUUGUACUCGGUAAAGUAAGGUACUGGGUGCCCGUCGCGGCCCAUCGGUUUGGGUCGUGACAGAAGUGGUAUCAGAGCAGUUUAGUCCUAGGGAAUCUACAAGCUGUGUCUAGUAGAAUCUUAUUUAUGGGUGUGUCGUACACCAUACUUAUAAGCAGGGGUAUAUAGGAAAUUUAGGAUUGUCGCUCUUUCUUCUUACUCUAGAUCGUGUGAUAGAGCUCACUUAUAAGAAUUCAAACUCCUAACUACUAUUCGUAAUAAAAUGAUACCUACAUCUAAAAUGACAGUUAGUAAGAGAUUGAAUGUGGCUAUGGAAGAAUUGAGUCAGGGGAAUGUGAUUUUUUAUGAUGCUUAUGACGAGUAAGUGUAAAGUCUUCAGCAUAUCAUGUGUGUACUAAUACGUGUAAGCUUCUUGUAUGCGGCGAAAUCAGAAGAUGUGAUUUCUCGCUAUUAAGCCACUUUGGAAGGAUACCUCGAGACCCCGAGGAUGUGGAGUUGCGACCGAGUCCCCACCCUCGGGCUCGUCAAGGCCCGACUCAAAGAAGACGAAGACCAAGGCUAGAGCAAAGGGAGAAACUCCCAAGGCACGCGGCUAAAUCUGACAGAGCCGGUCUAUCCAGAGAUUAUGUCGAAGUGUCACGUCUAGCCAUCCCAUCCCCAUAAUUUACAAUUAAUGCAUAUUGUACUAUAACUGGGUUCCCCUCCUAUAUAAAGGGAACCCACACUACUUUGUAAAGGGCUGAUGUUGCUCCACUUACUCUCUACAAGAACAAUAAUAUCUCUCUCUCUCUUUCUUCUCUCUAACUUGUUCGUUCUUACUAGCUCGAGGCAACUCUUAGCAUUCAUUAGUUUCUUACUUGUUCUUCAUUUAUUGCUUGGAAUUGGCUAUAAAGAGCCUUACUUGAUCAUAUCUUGACUGGUUGAUCAUAUCUUCAUCGACCAGUCCAAGGCUCGAGCAGCAAACCCCUCGGUUUGAUUACUGCCCCGAUUUAGUUUGUAUCUCUUCGUUAAACUUCAUCUUCUUAGCAUCAACUGCUCUAAACAACUAGCACAAAAAUAGAUCACGUAUUUUUAGAAUCCCAUUUUACAAAUUUAAUUGUUGUUACCAUUUUCCCGGUAAAUAUUUUGGCGCCCGCCGUGGGGCUAAAAAUAAUAGUGAUCAUUUUCUUGUUGGUUUCACUACAAAAACGCAAGUUAUCUUUCACACUUUUUCUUGUCCAAGAUCUCUUGAUUUUAGGUCGAAAUGUCUGGCUCGGUAAACAGGGUUGAGAACGACUACCUAGAAAAUCACGGCAAAAAUGGUGUGGUUGUUCCAGCCAUUGGCGCGCCACAGUAGAACCCCGAUAACGCACCUGGACUGAUUCCAGCGGACGCGGGUUCUCAAGACACGCACAGGUCGACGAAACCUCAUACACCGAUGGAAACAAACAACAUGGCGACCAACAGGAAGCCCAAAAGACCCCAGCCCGGGAAGAACAGGUAGUCUUUAUGUUAUUUUUGAAAUGUUGUAGGUAGAGUAGCUGGCUAUCUCUCAGUUGCAAAGCCAUCCGAAGGCUCCCAGCACAGUAGCGCCGGAAACUACUCUCCCAACCGAACGGGUACCGGAGAGGACAAGCAAUAGCGGAUCGGUAGCCGAUCCUACAAUAGUAAAGAUGCUUGAGGACCUCACCAAAAGGAUCGAAUCAGGUGAGAAAUUUAUAGCAGCCAGCGAUAAGAGGGUCGAGACCUACAACUCUAGGGUCGACCAAAUCCCGGGCUCGCCCCCGGUCCUGAAAGGUGUAGGUUCGUGGAAGUUCGUGCAAUGGUCGUUCCUCGAGGAAGCGGCCCCAAAACCCAUUUCAAAAAAGUUUAAAACGCCAAAACUCCCUAAGUACAACGGGCACUCAGAUCCUAACGAAAACAUCACUACUCAUGCGUGCGCAGAAAAAAGCAACGACCCAAAAGAUGAUAAGAUUGAAUUCGUCUUAUUGGAGAGGUUAGGGGAAACACUCUCGAGAGAAACCAUGAUGUGGCGUCAUAACAUAACGCCCGACCCCAUAAACUCGCCUACCUUACCGGCAGAUUUCUCCAUAAAGGCACAGGCCAUUCCCAUCGAAGCAAUGACGAGAAAGCCCGUUACAUCGAGGGCCGAGCAAAGGGAGAAUGAAACGCUGUGAGAGUUCGCAUCUCAUUCCCAAAUGGAACAAAUGGGAUUAUCCCCAGUCUCAGUUGACUGGGAAAUAAAAGCCUUCACUCAAAGCCUAAACAAACCAAGCCCGACAAUUUUAGGGCAGUCCAAACAAAACUUGAUUGGGUACCCAGCUAGGAUCUGGUUGGAUGCCCGUACCCAGCACCAGUCGCAAAUCAGGGUCGUAGAUAACCAUCUGGGAGCCUCCGCGGGCUCAGUAUACCCAAGCAGGCUCCUGGCAGAGAAACCUAUGCCAAACAGAGAAAGGUAUCGCCCAUACGCCGCAGAUAGGAGGAACUCCCCGAGAUGCAAUCUACCUCGCAACAAUCGGAGAACGGAUCGAGGAUGAUAUCCUCAAAGAAUCAUUGAUAGAGCCGGAUUCGAUGGGGACACAAGGACAGCGGGGGUUCCUCGCCCAUCAGAGUACAAUUUCAACAUCGUUAUACCAAACAUCGUGUUCACCGUCAGCGAAACCAGGGACGUCAAAUGGCUCAGACCAAUUUGGUCGAAUCCCCCUUAGGGGAAUCACAGCUUGAUGUGUGAACUGUAUAACGCGCACGACCACGGAGCCAAAAAUGGACACCAGCUCAGGAGGAAAACAGCCUUGCUACUAAAUAAAAAUUACCGCCGAGAACUGUUGAACGAUCAGGCUCGGGUUCAUUUCCGAGUACGGAAGAAGGCCAGGAAGAACAAAGCUAAUGAGCUGCGACGUAUUUCCACGAUAGUGGAGAAGCGGUGACACCCUCCAAGAACUCAUAAAAAGGAGAGAAACAAUUCUCGUCACCAGAAAGAAACGGACCCGGGGAUACAUUCCCGAGGACACCCUCACAUUCAGCAAAAAAGACACCGAGACCUUGUCUCGGCCUCACAUUGACGCAUUGGUAACCUUCUUCCUCAUUUAAUCCAUUUCAAAUAAAACAUAUGCUCAUGAAUUUAGGUGGUUCGAUCAACCAUUGUCAGACCGAUAAUGAUCUGGCGGUUCAGACCGCAGGGUCAAAACACAACCACCUCUCGAAUCUUUGAUGGAUUCCAAACGGCGAUCGCUAAGACAAGGAGAAAGACCAUUCUCUCAGUACAGCAUGGCUAGCCCAGAUCUGAACGCCGAGUUCCAAAUCAUCAAAGGAGACGCAAGGCACGGACGUCUCAUCCAGAUAACCACGGGCACACCACCCGAAGACAGUGUCGUCCCCACUUCGCCAAAAGGAUGAAAUUCCACGCAAGGGAUGGAAUUAAAAUAGUCAGCGGGAAGCAAUACGCGGCAAGGGGAAAUUUCGCAUUACAUGACGCAUCGCCAGCACCAAUACCUCCACUCUUGAAAAGAGUCAAAGGGUAAGCGAACCACAUCUUCAACCAAGCCCGAUUAAACACAGUGGAGGGAUAUACUAGGGUCCUCACCCUGAAACAGCAUGGACAUAUAAAACCUCGAAACAUCGCCUGCACAUCCCGUGGUAAAGAAAAACUACCUCCCUCCUUCGUUAUUUUUCACUGACCUGUAUGUAGAGACCCGGCCAGGGAGUUCGGAAGUGCUAACUCUACCCGAAUAUCCCGAGGCCUUGACGAAGCCCAUCGCACUCUUUCCCCUCGGCCAGACUUCCGCCCCAAAGAGGGUCUCGCCAGCACGGUUCUUAGCGGAGCAACGUACCCCCUAAGGAGGAUCUGAUGAGAUCGCAGGCCUUCUUUUGCAAUCAAACAAUAAAGGGCACCCCCCGUAGAAGAUGACAUCCACUCGGAAGGGCCGGGGAACGGCAGACCGAGUUUCAAUAGGGAAUCAUGUACCGGACCGAACGGUCCAAGGAGCCGCGCCCGAGCGAGCCGAACUCACAACAACGAAACGACAUGUAUUUACGCCAAGCAAUAAAAGAAUAUCUUUCAGCAUCUCGUACUCCAAAAAAGGAAAUAUCAGCAUGCUCACGGCAAGGGUCCCUCCGCCGAAUGCAUCCCGAAAUACUCUGAGACUUAGCGUCAAUAAUUUGUCACCCGCACGACCCCAGGGUCGGAACUCCAGGCUCAUAAGGCCCCAACAAGGCAACUCCGAGCUCACGAAUAACGGCCUUUAAGCCUAAGCAAACUCGAUGACUCGGAGACUGUCAUCAGUCGUCGUAUACUGGAAAACCCAAAACUAUAAGACCCCGAGCGGGCAAACUCAGUAUAACCAGAUCUAUUUUACAUAGCAACAAAACUUUAAGACCUCAACAGGCAUGACAAACUGUAAGACCUCAACAGGCAUGAAAAUUUUGUAAGACCUUACUAUAGGCAUAAAACUUAAUCCCGAAGUUUAGGCUAUACGUCGCAUUUGUAAGAAUCCCGAAAGGGCAUACCCUCGGUGUAGAUGCCUAAACUAUCACUCGAGAUCGAAAAUGGCUCCGGCCAAACACAUAUGACUAUGGUCAACAGGAUUCCCUCAAUAGGAAUCUACUUCGAAUCUACUUCGAAAAGAAUCGGUUAAAACAGGAUUUCCUCAACAGGAAAAACGAUCUUCGACCGUGUCAGCUCCAAAUCACAAGGCUUCAAGCUACUCAGCCUACGAGCUAAAAACCUUCUAAGGUGCUCGAACAUCGCCGCUAACACUUGAAAUCGAGGUUCUUCCCUAACCGACGACGGGUCAGGCAAAAUUAUUUCAAAAAGACUUUAACGAGAGGAAAACAAAGCCUACAAUAUGCCCAUGGGCAAAAGCGUAAGAGCCAUUGUUUCCAGCCAAAUGAGCCUAUGGGCCGCACACCAAAAGGUCGCAACGACCAAACAACGUAAGAGCCACUGUUGCCAGCUUGAAAAUUGAAAACUUGAGGAUUAAAGUGAGCUCGCGUCGUAACCCGAUUCGGAGAUCGGAUCCAAAAUAGUUAACUACACAUGCCUAAGGGCACAGCGUAAGUGCCAUUGUCACCAGCCAAACGAAACUCUGGGCCACACACUUGAAAGGUCGCUUCGACCCGAGGCGUAAGAGCCAUUGUCAUCUGCCCAUGCAGGCACGAAAAACCUUGAGGUUCAAUUAAAGCUCGAGUCACAACACGACUCGGAGACUAAACCCAAACUAGUUCAAAUACAAAUGCCCGAGGGUAAAGAAUAAGAACCAUUAUCAUCUGCCCGUGCAGGCACAAGAGAUUGAAGGUCAAGUAAGCUCAAGUCAAAGCUUGACUCAGAGACUAGACCUAAACAGCUGGGCAAGGCACAAAAACCCUAAUGCCUACUCGCGUCAAAGAUCGUACUUAAGAGCCUCCGAGCCUAUCUAAUGAGCUUCGGAUCUGUAGGGCUCCCACCAAAAGCUGAAACAAGCCCGCCUAGUCGAAAACAAUAUAGAAAGAAAUACAGAAGAGAUAAAGAUUCAAGUUUUCUCUUAUUUACAUGCGCGAAAGGUGCGUUCUCCAUCUACAAACAUGCUCUGCGAAUGUCAAAUACAAGAUUUAAAACUGGCGAAAUCUACACUCCGCUCUAGAAGGCUACGGCCUACCAGCCUCAGAUUCGCUCUCCAUGACAUCAGCAAAAAGUGAUCGAGCAUCGCGCUCAUUCGCCCUUGCUCAAGCCAACUCCUCCGAGAGAACAAAGCCCCUAACGCCGAUCUCUUCGAGUACCUCUCUUCAGGAUCUACAGCGAACAUAUUCCUUGAUCCUCUUUCACGAUCGAGGGCCCGCUUCAACUUGCCUUGGGCAUCAGCAGCAUCCUUCAAAUGAAUCGCCAUCUCCUGAUCUACCUUGGUCCGACUUAAUGUUGCUUCAGCUCGGGCAUCGAUUAUCUCAGCCCUGACCUUCGAGAGAUCGAACUCGAGCCUCGCGAUCAUAUCUGCUUUAACUAAAGCAUUGUCACGAGCUAAGCAGAGUUGGGCAUCAAAGGUGGGAACCUUGGCCAAGGCGCCCCUCUCCUCCAAAGCUUGCUUGAGCCCUAAGUUCGCCACAAGCAUUCCUGACCCGGUCAGCUUCGCCCCUAAGGUACUCCAAAGCCUCCAUCUUUUUUUGUAGCUUAUAUAGGUAAAAGGAUUAACCUUAAGGGUCAAAAGGGCGAAAUGCAUAUUAUGGAAGGUUACCUGCUCUAUCAAAUAGCUCUCGUAAUUGGAGCUCUGAUAUGCCUCAUAUCGCCAGUGCAUCAACUCAACCUCCUUCUCCUCGCCAAGGAGCCCAAGGGACUUGCCCUCAUCCAGAGCUUUCCGAAGCCUAUCCCCAUGGCGGAGUAGCUCAAAUCUGAGCCUAUCUAAGGCCUACGAAAUAAAAACUCGAUAAAGAAAGGAAGAUGUGAAAUAAAGAAGGACUGCGUCUAAACUCACCAUGAAGUGAAGCCGGCGAACUUCCUUGAAGGCUGAGCACACUCCUGUUGGUCCAUCCCCUUCAACCCUGGAAGAACCAACCUCGGUCGAAGCAUAUUCACCCGGAGGAACUACCGUUCUAGAACCAAAUGCUCCGGGAACAGCAGGCUCGGGCGAUGUCCUCUCCUCGAAGAUACGGUCUCAUUUAGCCCCAUUAAAAGCUCCAUCGCGCUGCGAAUGUAAGUCCCCUUCGCCGCCAUCGUCCCUUGGCUCAGAGGGCGAUGACUCCUCCCCCUAUCUGGAGGAACGCCUGAUACCUGCAGCGGCAAAGCCAGUAAAAAGUGUAAAACGUCAUAUACGAAGACUAAGGUGGAAGCAGCAUACGCGCAUACCUUGAUAUUUCGCUUCCCAUCUGCCAUGGGACACAGCUCGCCACCUACGCUCGUCACAAGUCGAAUGGGACGCCAACCUCCGGACCUAGCCGGGCAGAUCGGGAACUUCGUUCGGCAUCCAUGAUGUUGCUGCAGGAGAGGAGAAAACACAAUUACUCAACUGGUUUUCUCGAGCAAAUCCGAGAGAGCACGAGACACUCCACUCACACGCAUAAUUCCAUCCCUCGGGAAAUGGCAUGAGCUCCCCUGGGAUAAUCCGAGCCCGAACAAAUCGAUUGAUCCACUUGCCAUACUCAUCUUCCUCAUCAUCAACAACAAAGGGUGUAGACGAAUGGCAUCUCAAGGUUAGCAAGCCUCGAUGAUAAAAGGGUCGGUACAGCCUGACAAGGUGGCUAAGCGUGAAUUCAAGCCCAGCCUUCUCCGCAAAGAAUCUCAUCAUCAGCACCACUCGCCAAAAUGAUGGAUGUAUUUGCGCCAAAGUAACCCGGUACUUCAGGAAGAAGUCAUGCAUGACCCUAUUAUAGGGACCUAAUACGAAAGGGUAUAGGUAUACGUUCAAGAAUCCAUCAGCAGAGUCUGUAAUACUCUCAUUUGGGGAAAGCACCUGCAGCGCUAUCCCCUCGCCCCAUCCGCAGUAUCUCCUCACCAUCUCCAGAUGUUCCUCUCUUAUCAAAGACAUAGUCUUUAGAGAGAACUCCUGCAGAUCCUGAACACUGGUAACGAAACUCUCCCCUCCCUACCGGGCUGGCCCCGAAGUAGAUGCCAUGGCUAUGGUAGAAUUGACAAACUAAAGCAGGGACAUGCGCCAACACUUUUUGCACCUGAAGAAAUGAAGGACCCUAUGCCAAUGCGGAAGGACAGCUAUCUAAAAUAAUGAGAUCUUUUAAAGAAGCAAAAGCCACGACACGAAUAUGUGGGAAACAGCAAUGAUUCGCCUAUCCGGAGUAAUCCCCGGGAGGCAACGGCCUCGGUAUAGAUCCUGGGGUGGUACCCGACCCCAGAGACAUCCAUUGACAAGAAGUUAGGCUUUAAGGAGUCAACUGCGUCGUCUCCAGUUUCGAGGUUGUGCCCGACCUCGAGGAUCUCCGCCAAAAAAGACGUCAGGUUUCGAAAAGCAUUCAGCGCCAUCAUAGGACUCGAGGCGGUAUCUGAUCUCGUGGUUUUCAUUUCUAAAAAGAAAAGUAAGCGCUUAAAGCUCCACCCAUGAAGACUCAAGGAGAGCUCAAGGCAUCGCCUAAAUAUAGGCAACUCCUCAAUGGAAGUCUAUCCACUACGCCUUAAAAGGCCAUCUACAUCAAGUUCAAAGUAGACCCCUAGGUACCAGAAGUUGACCUUCGCUCAGGAUACCACUCUCAAAAACACCAAAACUCAGCGUACUAUGUCCAUGCAACUUGAAGGGCCCGAUGGCCCGAGUCUAUCAUACCAAUUCAGGCUUGGUCUGAGGUAUGGCAAUGGGCUCAGAAAAGAGCCAUGUGAAUCGGCAGAGGAUCGGAAAGAACGCUCGCAUCUGAGUUAAAUAUCAGCGGUUAACAACAAAGGAAAACAUUCAAAGCCUCGAAGAACACAAGAACAUAUAAUAAGUAGGGCAGGCAUCAAGAACAGGAAUCAAGGAAAUAUCUAUAUAUUCAUGUACAACAGCCCUCGAAGGGUCCUUACAUAUAAUUACAAAAGGCUACAGAGGAUCUCUACACAAAAAUGAAGGAACGGAAGGAUGUACAUGUGAUGAAACCCAAGAACUCGGUCCAUCCUCGAAGGUCCAUCUCUGGUAUUAUCAUCCUCGAGCGCCACCCCCUCGAGCCCGUAUCCUCGAGGGCGAUUCCUUCAAUCGUCGUCUCCUCUAGGCUCCUAGAUUAAUCCCGCGGAAGGACCCCACCGAUCGAAAAGAUGAAGAAGAGAAAAAUGAGGGGAUGUAGAGGAGGCAAAGAAAAGAGACAUGGCUCACCAAAGAAGAAGGUUGAAGAUUCCGCGGGCCCUAGACUCAACGGCUGGUAGUGCCACUUUAUCGUUGGGAGAGGAAAAACCCAAGGGAUGAAGUGCCACACUAGGCCUAGGUAGGAGAGUGAGUAGCGGUGCAUAGUCCGAAUGACUGUCUACGAAAGGGGAAAACAGAUUCCCCAUCUAUCAUCAUCUCGGGCCAACGACAACAACAACCAUGGCAGCGACAUGACGGCAUGGUCGUGCUCAACAAAGGGAAGCUCCGGCAAGAGGCCACAACACAGCCUACAGAAGCUCUGCUGAAUGGCCUUGAGGCUACGAGCCCCAAACAUGACGUUCAAGGAUAAAGGAAGAUGGUAAGAAGAAAUAGGCAAAUGAUCUAAUGAAGGAACUUGGAUAUAAAAACAACCCCAAAGGGCCCCCAUUUAUAGGGGGUAAUGACACGGUCAUCGAGGCUUUGGAAGAUUGACCGGAGGACGCAACUACUGCAUUCUUGAAGAGAUGAAUCGAUAGCAGUAACAUUCCUCUUGGAGAAUGGGAAUCGGCAGGGCAUUAAAUGAUGUCAAAUACACAAGUCCAUGGGAUACCCCGGUUGUCGCAAAAGCUCGCGCCACAGGUUGCAUCAUUGGUAUGGCAUCACCGUGAGAAGCUUGUGGAAUUCCGUGUCAGAAUCAUUUCCCAUCGCUUCAUUCUGGGAAACGCGAAGACUAUCUGUAUGCGGCGAAAUCAAAAGAUGUGAUUUCUCGCUAUCAAGCCACUUCGGAAGGAUACCUCGAGACCCCAAGGACGUGGAGUUGUGACUGAGUCCCCUCCUCGGGACUCGUCAAGGCCCGACUCAAAGAAGACGAAGAUCGAGGCUAGAGCAAAGGGGGAAACUCCCAAGGCACGUGGCUAAAUCUGGCAGAGCCAAUCUAUCCAGAGCCUAUGUCGAAGCAUCACGUCUAGCCAUCUCAUCCCCAUACUUUACAAUUAAUGCAUGUUGUACUAUAAUCGGGUUCCUCUCCGGUAUAAAGGGAACCCAGACUACUUUGUAAAGGGCUGAUGUUGCUCCACUUACUCUCCACAAGAUCAAUAAUAUCUCUCUCUCUCUUUCUUCUCUCUAACUUGCUUGUUCUUACUAGCUCGAGGCCACUCUAAGCAUCCAUUAAUUUCUUACUUGUUCUUCAUUUAUUGCUUGGCAUUGGUAUAAAGAACCUUGCUUGAUCAUAUCUUGACUAUUAUGCCAUUCCUGACUGCCCCCGAUAGCUUGAGCUCGAGCCAAAUAUCGACCACAAGGCUUCUUCAUCGGCCAGUCCGAGGCUCGGGGGGCAAGCCCCUCGGUUUGAUUACUGCCCCGUUUUAGCUUGUAUCUCUUCGUUAAACUUCAUCUUCUUAGCAUCAACUGCUCUAAACAACUAGCAUAAAAAUAUAUCACGUAUUUUUAGAAUCCUAUUAGUCGGCCUGUCAGAUUUGUCAUUUGUUGUGACUUUUUUUCCAUACCAAGUAAGACCUCGCCUUGGACAAAUCGUGUACUCGGGUGUUUUCCCACAAAUGUUGGCAUUCGCUCCAAAUUUAGUGAACCACUUCUUUCGGAAAUUGAGCAUCGGAGCGGAUUUCAAUCAUAUUAAUACUAAGGUCUUCAUCCUUGGGAACUGUUUGGAAUCUUCCAAGUUGUCUCAAAAUUCGGUACGGGGCAUAGGGCUAGAUGCUUCGGAGACCCAUUAGAAGGAAGUAAGGACUAGUGGCAAGAAUAUAAAUAACCGCAUCAACAGGAAGCCAACCCAAUGUCCACUCUAUCUGAUCUACAGUUAUAGAACAAAGGUGGGUGAUCCAAUCUUUGACCCCUUCUGGCAUUUCAAAUCCUAUCACUCGUGUACCGAACUCCUCGAUGCAGUUUCUUCUUGUAGAACCGUAAUUCACAUAUCGGGGACGGUGAAAGGGGUGCUCGAUCAUCCACAUGUGCAAUAACAUAUUGCACCCCUUGAAAAACUAGACUUCGGUCUUACAGGAUGUAAGGGCUCGGAAUAUAUCUGAUACGAUCAUAGGUGCGAGGGUGCUCUUGGCCUGAGUAGUCAAAACAUGGACAACUCCGGAUACACACAAACCAAUAUGUCCAUCCUCCCUUAGAAACACCGAAACGCCUAAAAAUGCCACCAUGAAGGCAAAGCAUCUAUGCGUCUCCCACUUUGACCAGUUUCCUUUACUAUAGAGUCCAUUUUCUGGGUCUUCGAAUCCCCUUAAGUGCUCGUACUACUGGUAUAGAAAGUGAAAAGUGGAAGCUCCUCCUGCUAGACUUUCUAUCUUGAUCUGUCUUUUUAUUUUCAGUAGGUCUAGAAACUUGUGGGGAGUAACAGUCCUUGGAGAUACCAGAUACUUGUGUCUUAAUCCCUCUGUACUCUUGGAAUAACCCGGCAUUUCUUCCAAAGUAGGUGUAAGCUCAAAAUCUGAGAAGUGCAAAACAUUGUGAGCGGGGUCCUAGUAUGUCACCAGUGCCUCUAUCAGAUCACUUCUAGGUUGAAUUUUUAAUAGUCCAGGUGAGUGCCCCCAGGUAUUGAUUGACCCCGUCUCAUCAUUGUUUUCCCAAAUCCUCCCACCACAUGUGGAGUGCUAGUGGUAUCUGAUCCAUAACCUUCACCGGUAAAUUCUGAACAGUGCUCAUUCUACACAUUUUUAAAUUAGGGUGACUAGGUUAAAACAUGUGAGUUUUGUUUAAAAACUGACCAUGAAAAGAUUGUUUUUGUAAAAUUCAACUGAAAAAACAAAUCACAUCUACUUUUGCAAAUAUGGCCCUUCAGCACUUCGGAAAGGGAAGAUUUUAGAGUUGUGCUUACUAAGUGGCCAAAAAUUUGAAAAAGGACCAUAGGUGGCUAUUCUUGCAAAAACGGUCUUCCGGCAUCCCGUCGGGACAUUUCUGACUAUUUGGACAAAAACGACAUCACCUAACUUUACUUAUGAUAAAAUGACAACAUAUUCAUAUUUUUGGUUAUUUUUGCAAAAGCGGGGCUGGAACCGAUGUAGGUUGCCUACGUAUCUCACAUCCGAUGAGAAUCAAACCCGCGUAGUUCAGUAAAUUUUGAUGCAACUAAAAAAAUAUGACUUAUUUUGACAUGAUUUUUUCUUUUUCUCUUUUUUCAAAAUUUUGGCAGAAUUUCGGGAUAUUUUGAAAACUAGGAUUUUCAUAAGCAGGUGAUUUUUCUCUCCUACCUCACUCUUGAUUUUUCUUGAUUUUCUUUCUUUAUUCUAGAAGUCGGUCAGCAUAGAAGUCCAAACAAAUAAAUGUACAAAUAGCACGUAAAAUGUAUCAGGAUUGUCUUUUAAAUUGGAUACACUUGUCCUAGACAGACCCAACCCCAGUGUUGAGUCCCCAAAGUCAAAUGCACGUGAUACAAACAAGCGUACCUACUAGGGAUCCAGCAUAAGGUUAUGUCAUUCAAGGUUUGAAACCUGGGGUAUAUUGUUCUAGACCUGGCUUACCCGAGCGGACAACUUGAGUCGAGGGGGGCAACGUACCGGGAACCAAAAGGCCAUCUGGCUUUGUAACUGAUCCGAUCCUCGUUCUAAAUUAGAGUAUGACACUAAGAGAAAAGAAGUCAUGCCAGCGUGCACUUCCUAGAAGAUUUAGAAGACUCACCUAGAAGAAGGGUUUCGUAACAGUUUUAUAAACAGUUCAAGCAAUAUCAAAGCGGUAAGAAGCGGCAUUUAGCACAUUAGGCUCAAACACGUAAAAAAUCAGAAAAACCCAAAAGCCAACUAUAAUAAUUAUUCUAAGCUCGAAUUCUGAACCCAGAACUAGAGAUUCUGGGUUCGGUCCCCAGCAUAGUUGCCAGAGAUGUCACACCUCCUUUUUCCCCAGGGAUAGGGAGUUUUUCCAAUUAAAGUGAUAUUAUUUGAAAUGGGAUUAUUAUUUAAUUUAGAGUCACCAUUUGGAAUAAUUUAUAGUGUCUCAAGUCACCGGUUUAUUUUAAAUUCCUAAUUGAGGAAAUUUGACUUUGUUAUAUGGUCCGCGAAACACAAAAGACUGGAUAAAGAAUUCUAUUAACCGAGAGAAGGUGCGAGGCACUCCCGAGUUCUGUGAUUUUAGCACAGUCACUAAACAAUUAAUAAUUGGUCUAAUUAUCUAAUUUAUUAUAUGUUUAAAACUUAUUGUACAUGUUUUACUUUUUAACCGCUUUUAAUAUUUAAAGAAUUUAUUUAACUAAGUCGCGAUAUUGCGUACUCAUUUUUUGUACACAUUGCGAAUCGCGUCAUAUGAAACACACACGUGAUUUACAACAUGUUUAUUAUUAUUAUUAUUUGAAGUUAUGAUCGAGUCACGUGAAACGCACACUCGAAUUAGGGAUUAUGCAUCAUGAUUAUGGCAUGAAAACCGCAUCCAUAGUCACGAUGAUUUAUUUAAACGCGCCUAAUGCAAGCUACGAUAUUCGAAUUAACAACUUGCAUUUGGGAUUGUCAUGAAGUCUCGAAAUAUGGAAUUUAUUUGGGGAAAAUAUGCACAUUAGUAAUUUGCUUAAACUAAUCUGUAAAGUAUUUUAGUCUUUUUUUUUUAAAAAAAAAAAACAAAUUUUAACUACAAUGAUGAUUCUGAUGACAUUAGCAUAAACUUGAUUCCAGUGAGAUGAUAAAUAUAGUCUAAGACGAUAAAGAACUCAAAUCAAUUCUAAAUCUAAUCACUUUGCAACUUGGCUAACCAACAAAAAAUCAUGGAAAAGGGUGGGUCUCGGUCCCAACAUUUUUCAUACAACGAGGCCUUGAUAAAUUAUUCACAUUAGGGUCCAAAAUCUCCAUUCACCAUAAGGGAACGGAAACUAGGCCUAUUGGAGCAUCAGGCCCAGUCAAUUUGAGCCAACAAAACAACUUAUAACUUUGAGAAUCAGGAUAUCUAAUCAAUUCACAACAUUAUCAAAUUAAACCAACAUUAUGCUAAAUAAUAAUUAAUCAGAAUAUCACAAGAAUUUCAGUUUGAACAAAUUUGAAAUACAUUAAUGAGUCAUUCUAUCAACUACAACCAUUAUUUACAAACUUGCAUCAAAAAUAAAAAUUUUAAACGAACUCCUAUACUAUUUCUUCCAGCACUGGAUAUGAGCAGACUUUAGAAUCGCAUGUUCAAGCUCCAUAACUCAUGACUUUGUGAUCCAGAAAUCUCACAGAGAUGGAUCUGACCAACUGGUCAGAUUCAUCAUUUAGUCAUUCUAAACUUUCCUUCAAGUGUGAAUCACCAUUAAUAUUGAAAAUUUUAAAAAACAGCAAAGAUUCAGUCAACUUAGACUUAAUUAGGACAUACGGGUUACUUAUCACAACAAAGAAGUUCAAAAUGUGAAAUUCAUUUAUGAAACAAUGAAAGUAUUACGGAUACUCUUAGUCUUACUUCAUACAUUUGAAAAGAGCAGGCAGAAUUUCAAAUGCUAAAACCACACUUUACAAACACAAUCCAACCAGAUGUUAAUAACAGAAAUCUAAUAAAGAAUGAACUUGUAAUGACCCGAUUGAUCAUUUUGAGAUCUAGUGCGUAACUCGGUGGUUUGAGGCCUUGAGUAGCUUCACUUCAGGUAUUAUGACUUGUAUGCAUGGUCGGAAUUGAAUUUCGGGAAGGUCGAGAUUGAUUUGGAAAAGAAAUUCUAAUUUCAGAAGCUUUAAGUUGGAGGAAUUGACUAAGGUUUGAUUUUGAGUAAACUACUUCGGAAUUAGGAUUUAAAGGUUCCAACAGGUUUGUAUGAAAUUUUGGACUUGGGCGUAUAUCCGGAUUGGGUUUUGGAUGACCCGGGAGCGUUUCGACGCCUAUUGUGAAAAGUCGGCAUUUUGGAAGAAUUUCAUAAAUUUGGGUUGAAGUGUAUUUCAAUGUUAUCGAUGUCCGUUUGAGAUUCCGAGUCUGGGAAUAGCUCUGCAUGGUGAUUCUGAUCUUAGGAGCGCGUCCAAGAGUGGAUUUGGAGGUUCGUAGAUCAUUUCAUGGUCAUUUGGCGAAAGUUAGAAAUUUGAAGGUUUUUUUAAAAGUUUGAUCGGGAGUGGACUUUUUGAUAUCGGAGUCGAAUUCCGAUUUUGGAAGUUGGAGUAGGUCUGUAAUGUCAAAUGUGACUUGUGUGCAAAAUUUGAGGUCAGUCAGACGUGACUUAAUAGGUUUCGGCAUCAUAUGUAGAAGUUUGAAGUUUUAAAGUUCAUUAAGCUUGAUUUGGAGUGCGAUUCAUGGUUUUGACAUUAUUUCAUGUGAUUUAAGGCCUCAAGCAAGUUUGUUUUAUGUUUUUAGACUUGUGUGGGUGUUAGGUUGGGAGCCUCGGUGCUCGGGUGAGUUUCGGAUUAGCUUCGGAAUGUUUUUGUUAAGAAUUUUGAGUGUUGGUUCUGAUUUCAUCCCAUUUGCGAGGUAGUCCUCGCAUUUGCGAACCUGGGCUGCUGGGGAAUGGGUCGCAUUUGUGAAAAUAUUAUUGCCUCCCCCCCCCCCCCCCCCCCCCGCAAACGCGACACCUGCGACUGGAGCAAGGGCUUUUAUUCCGGAACUUAGCUAAUUUUUUUCAUUUCCCACUUGGACUUAGGUGAUUUUUUAGAGCAUUUUGAGAGGGGUUCCACCAACAUCAAGAAGUAAGUGAUCCCUAUUAGUUUGUUAGCUAAAUAUACGAAUCAUAAGUAGAUUUAACAUGGAAAAUGGUGGGAUUUAUGGAGUUUUUGAAGAAAAAACUAGAAAUUAAUAUUUUUGAAUUUACCACGAAAUUAGACAUGGAAUUUGGAAUAAAUUAUAUAUUUGAGUUCGUGGUGUUAUGGGUAAAGUUUACCUUCAAAAAAUUUUGAAAUCCUAGCAUGUGGGCCCGAGGGUGAUUUUUAUUGACUUUUCGAGCGGAGUUGGAAAUUAUUGUAAAUUGGAUUAUAAUGAGUAUUAGAGUAUAUAUUUAUGGAUUUACACAUUUAUUGACUAGUUUUGGUGCGUUGGUCAUUGGUUUGAGUUGUUUGAAAGGCUUGGGAGUCGGCUAUAUAACUUCGGAGUGAGAUAACUCGCUCUUCUAACCUUGUAAGAGAGAAUUAACAUCAUAGGUGAAUUUAAUUCAUAUGUGCUCUUAUUUACGGGGCUACAUACGUACGAGGUGAUGAGAGUCCGUACAUAGCUAUUAAUUAUGCCUAUGUCGGGGUAGUUUUAGGUUUACACCAUGCCAUAUUGGUACCAUUGUUUGAUUAUGUUCAUUAUUUGUCAUGGAAAGAAUUGAGGUUGAGUAUGCUUAUUGAUUGCCUUUAAAAGAGUUGAAAUUGAGGAUUUUGAGAUUUGAAAGUUUUCAUUUAAAUUUCGUAUUUUUGAAAAGAAUUGAGGAAUAUUAUAAUAACUUGAGAAAUCUAUGUUCAACCGCAUCGCAAAUAUAUUCCGCAGGGGGGUUGUAACAACCCGACCGGUCGUUUUGAGCUUUUUCACUUUGCUCGCAAGUUCUCGGGCAUGGCUAGCCCCGUGUGAUGUAUUAUGACUUAUGUAAAUCGUCGGUUUUGAAUUUUAGGGUGAUCGGAAUGAAUUUUGAAGAACAAUUCUCAAUUUGAAGCUUAAAAUUUGAAAGGUUUGACAAAGAUUUGACUUGUUAGUAGAUGGUUUGAAGCUUAAAAUUUGAAAGGUUUGACAAAGAUUUGACUUGUUAGUAGAUGACCUGGGAUUGGAAUUUCUAUGAUUUAGUUAGCUCUAUUAGGUGAUUUGGAACUUAGGAGCGCAUCGAAAUGUGUUUUGGAGGUCCGGAGUAGAUUUAGGCUUGAAUUGGCGAAAUUGGAAUUUUGGCGUUUUCCGGUUGAUAGAUGAGAUUUUAAUAUAAGGGUCGGAAUAAAAUUCCGGAAGUUGCAGUAGUUCCGUUGUGUCAUCCGGGAUGUGUGUGCAAAAUUUCAGGUCAUUCGGACGUGGUUUGGUAGACCUUUUGAUCAAAAGCGUAAUUUAGAAGAUUUUGUAAUUCUUAGGCUUGAAUCUUAUGUGAAUUUGGUGUUUUGAUGUUGUUUUGAGCGUUCCAAAGAUUAUAACAAGUUUGAAUGAAGUUAUGGGAUAUGUUGGCAUUUUGGUUGAGGUCCCGGGGGCCUCGGAUGAGUUUCGGAUAGUCAAUCGGACCAUUUCAUGUUGUGAAAAAAAUUGCAGAAAACUGUUGUUGGGUGUUGCAGAGAAUUUGCCUACGCGUUCGCGAAGGGUUAGCAGGUGAGGUUGAGGAUUUAGCCUUCGUGUUCGCGAGGGAGGUUCCGCGUUCGCGAAGCGCUGGGGUCCUGUGAAUCGCGUUCGCGAGGUAGUGGUCGCGUUCGCGUAAGAGUGAAAUGUGGUCAACGCCGGUUUGUGCUUCGCGAACGCGAGGCUUUGACCGCGUUCGCGAAGAAGGUUUUUAAUGCCUAGGCAGAAUGUUUAAAUAGCCAUUGUUCGCGAUUUUGGGGCUAUGUUUUACCAUUUUUGGGCGAUUUUGGAGCUUUUUGAGAGGAUUUGAAGAGGGAUUCAAGAGAUAACACCUGGAGGUAAGAUUUUUGAACUCAAUACUCGAUCCUAUGUUGAUUCUUACUUGUUUAAACAUGAAAUAUGUGGAAAUUAAAGCCUAAAAUUGGAGAAUUAGGGCUUGAAUUUGGAGAAUGUAAAUUGGAAAUUUGAGGGGGCAUUUGAGGUCCGAUUUUGAUGUUCUUGGUAUGUAUAGACUCAUGGGAGGAUGAGGAUUCUAUUGAUGUAAUUUUUAUCAGAUUUCGAGAUGUGGGCCCCGGGCCGGGUUUGAGCAAUUCCGAGAUUUUGAUGUAAAUUGGAGAUUUUCAAGUGGGCUUUGUUUUCUUAGCAUAUUUUAAUGGUCAUGUACUGAUUUUGGUUAGAUUUGGAGCAUCUGGAGGUCGAUUUGAGAGGGCAAAGGCAUCACGGGCUAGAGUUUGGACCGGAUCGAGGUGAGUAAUGAUUGUAAAUAUUGUCCCGAGGGUAUGAAACCCCGAAUUACACAUCCUUGUGCUAUAUUGAGGUGACGUACACGCUAGAUGACGAGCAUGGGGGUCGUGCAUCGUUGGGGAUUGUGACUUAGUCCAUCCCGUAUGACUGUUUCACCACAUAUUUAAUUGAAAAUUAUUUGUUAUCAUCAUGUUUUGGGUUGAAUGUCGUAUUUGGGCCUCGCACCAACUAUUUGAACCAUUAAGGGAUUUUUACUGAUAUUUCCUCACUUUUUUGACUUUAUACUUGUACUCGGUCAUGCUAUAUCCUAUUAUUUUCUUAACUCAACCAUGUUUACUCUGUUUUAAUACAUUAAAUGAUAUUUUAAAUGAUAAUUUGGGUUGACCGUCAUGUUUUACUAUUGCCCGAGAGGCUUAUGAGAUUUUGAGUGAGUAAGGUCGAGGGCCUGUGUUGUGAGGAUACACUGAUUCAUGAGUUUGAGGCCGAGGGUCUGAGAUUGUAGCCACAAUGUGGCUUGUUGAUAUGAGGCCGAGAGCCUAUUGAGUAUGCCACGAGAUGGCUUGAUAUUGCGCUUGGGACAUAAGGGGCCCCUCCAGGAGUCUGCACACCCCCAGUGAGUGCGGGUACCCAUGGUGAUGUGAGAUAUAGCCCGAGGGGCUGGUGUUGUUCCAUGUUGUUUCCUGAGGGGCUUUUUCUAUUGGUAUUGUGCCCGAGGGGCGGAUUUUUUGUGCUUAUCUGUUCUAGCUACUUUUCGUUUACUUGUUUAACUAUGAAAAAGGUAUUUUAAAGAAGUUUAAACUGAGCUAAGAUGUUUUAAGAGAUUUCACUACUUCAUUACUUUCUUACUGGUUUUAUACUACUUUUAUAUAGCAUGUUGAUGUGCUUUUACGUGAUUUCUUAUCACUCAGUCUUAAUUUAUUGUUAUUACUCACUGAGUCGGAGUACUCACAUUACUCCCUACACCUUGUGUGCAGAUUCAGGUAUUUCUGAACCCGGUAGCAGGUGUUAGUUGCUUAGAGGCAGAGUCAUCAGAGUUUAGCAAGGUAGUUGCCCGGUGUUUGCAGCACUGCUUUUCUCCCUCUUGAUUUCAUUAGACUGUAUUUAGUGCAUCUUUCAGACUUUCCGUGUAUAUAGACCUUAAUAGAUGCUCGUAACUUAUGACACCCCGAUGUCGGGCUGUAUCUAUUUCCGCACUAUUCAUUUAGACUUACAUUAUGAAAUAUCUGAUUAAUUAAAAAGGCUUAAAUUGACUUAUUAAAAUUGUUGAAAUGAAUUUGGGAAUUGUGCAUGCUGGCCUUAUCUUCAUGGAGGCGUUAUCAGGACCUGGUCCGGUUUGGGGUUGUGACAGGGGUAAAUUUUCAUUACUCUCAUGGGAGCGGGCCAUUUGCCUCGGCAUGUUAAUAGAUGCAUCUAUGGUUCAUGUUGUUGGACCCUCGGGAGUGCACAGCUUAUAUUUAUAUGUUGGAUCGGGUCGUACGACCUCGGCAUGACUUGCGCGUGAUAAUUCUUUGGAAAUAAUAAUAAUUGACAUUGUUCCAUUGGCUUUAGAUACAAAUUGUUAAAUGAUGAAAAUAAAUUUGGAAAUUUCUAUUAGUAAAAGGAUUGUUUAUUAUUUUCGGUUAUUGAGUUUCUAGUUAUAUUAUGCAAUCCAUGCUUAAUUAUAACAUCGGUAUUUUAUUGUUAGCCUAUAGUAGGUGUCAGAGUCGACACUUCGUUACUACUCCUUCUAGGAUAGACGGGAUACUUACUAGGUACGCGUUAAUUUACGUACUCAUACUACACUUGCUACAUAUGUUUGUGAAGGUACAUAUAUGUCUCGUGGCCUUAUGGGCGCAGAGGUGUGGUUAAUGCGGGGCUUAAGUGAGCUGCAUUUCAUGUUAUGAUCCGCAGUCAGCAGAGUCUCCUUCAGAGUUAUUUAUAUUUUUCCUGUCUAAUUUGUAUUCCGGGCAGAUGCUGUAUUUUAUUUUACUCCUUAGUUGAUACUCAUGUACUUGUGACGCCGGGUUUUGGGUGUGAUUAUAGGUUGUUCAAUACUGUAGUUGUGAAAAUAUUAACACCUAGUCUAUAAAUCUUGAUCUCUUACUAUUUAAUUGAAGGAAAAAUUUUGAUUUCAAAAAUACUAAAAUGAGUAAUCAAGUUAAUCAAUUAUCGUUUGCUUGCCCGACAACGGUGUUAGGCGCCAUCACGACCUUUGAUGGAUUUGGGUCGCGACAACAUGGUAUCAGAGCCAGGUUCACUUAGGUCUCACGAGUCAGGAGCGAGGCUAGUAGAGUCUUGCGGAUCGGUACGGAGACAUCUGUACUUAUCUUCGAGAGGCUAUAGGAUUGUUAGGAGCACUUUCCUUCUUGAUUCCUCAUCGUGCGAUUUGAUUACUUUGAGGCUUAUGCCUUUAUUUCUUCUUAUUCAGUCUUAUGCGACGUGGAGCACUGGUUAUCAAUUAGGAAUCGAGGAAUUGUAAUAAUACUAAAGAUGUGGUGCAGGAUAUUUCUCCCUGCAUAAUUGUUUGGCUAUUGUCGUUGCCUUGCGGAAGGAUGCUCUGUCAUUCUAGCUUAGUAUAAGUACUGCCUAUGGUUUUGGUAUUUGGGCAUUGAUUGUUAUGAUGAUUCAUGUGUUGCUAUCGCAUAGUGAUGUUGUAAUGGUCGGGUGCUUAUUUAUGGAUCGCGGCAAUAAAUGACUUGAUAGAAGGAUUUUUUAGUUCGCGACUUAGAGGUUCUGCAAUUAGUUCCAGGGGAGAAAAGGCAAUCGGACUAAGAAUGUUCAGGUUUGGGUCGAUAGCGUGAUGAAACUUGGUAUUUUCGAGCACGGUGGAAUUUUCAUAUGUGAUGUAGCAUCGUUGUCCUUGUUGGAUGUGUUAAGUUUGCUGGUAUUAUGGUGUUUUUCAAUUCUCCUUUGGGGCAAGGUUGAAAUGGUGCCAAGGAAGCAGCUGUUAAAGAUCAUGGUGUGCAGUGGUUUAGGGUCGAAUCGGUGUUCCUAGUGUUAAUGGCUCGAGAAGGAUGAUCUUCGGAGAGGUUUAGAGUUGGUAGCGAUCUAUUGAUUCAAGUGCUAAGGGGAUGGAUUUUUAUUUAAGUCAAAUAUUGGGCAGCGAAGGACGAGGAAGGGCAUGUAGGAGGUGUCUUGCGGGGGUUAAAUUUCUAGAAGGCCAAGUGUGAGGAGCAGAAGUCGAGUAGUUGCUCAAAUGAGAGGGUUUGACCAAAGUGGGAGAGUGGCAGAGUAGCACAUGGGUUUUGUGCUAGGAUAGCUACAAGCCUUGAGGAAAGUUUAGAGUUUAUUUGGGAUUUCAUGGUGGGCAGUGACUAGGCCUACGGACUUAAUUUGGAAUAUUGGAUACUAUACUGAGGAAGAUUGGAUACAACGAAAAAAAGUUGCUCGAUAUGAAGAGGGAUGCAACAUGACUUUGGAUUGGAAUGUGUCGUUGCACCUUUAGUUGAUGUCAAUAGGGAGUGAACAAACUUGUACAGCUAGUGAAUAAGCACAGGCUCAGGAUGGUUUAUGGGUUUCAUAGUAAUUGCACUCAAUGCAGCGUCAUUGGAAGGUGUCGGCAUGGAAUUUCCAUAGGUGAGUUAUCUCCUGUGAGCAGGUUAGCGGUUGUGUGGUGUUGACGAAGCUUCUACAAAGCAUUUUACUGGCUAUCCGGUAAGAGGUUGAAUAUGUAAAUGUAGCUAGUGAUUCAGAAUGUUCAUAAAAUGUUAACAAAAGGAUUUUAAGGAAUUUGGCGGGUUUAUUGUGCAAGAUCAUGUCAAUAGGGGAUAAGGAAUCUUGGUGGGUUCCAGGGUUAUGUAAUAAGUAGCUUCAAGCUAAGUGGGAGAGUCCCAUCGCCUACGAUUGGAUCGCAUGGUUGUCUACUUGUGAGGUUUAUGGUUAUCGGCAUAUUGGUGGGUUAUUACAACUAAGGAAAGAAAACAUCAUUGUAAUUUGAGCAAAGGAUUUGGGGAAUGUGUGAUAUAUUUGGCCUUAUCGAUUCAUGUUCAAGUUUUGGGAAGACUCGGAGUUUAUACUCCGUGUGGAUCUGAUGUACAGGGGAAGGAAUUCAACUGAUUGCUUCCUUGAGAGGGUGUUCAUGUGCUAGGAGAGCCUUGGAGUUGAUUAUAUUCGGUACCAAGUUGGAGUGGGUGACUCUCAAAAAUGGUCCUAGCGGGUUCAAAAAGUAAAGUGCAGUGCCUAAGGAUUUUGAGUAUAUAGUAAGGUUAAGUAUCGAGCUUUUGCAGCGAAAUAUGAAAGGGACUUGGAGUGUUCUAUGUUAUCUUCGGUCUGUGGUGCAGCAUUUGAGGAAUGGGGGAAAAUAACUUCGGAUUCAUAGAGGAAUUAUCAGAAUGGGUGUACCAGUUAAAGAUGCGGAUAUGCGCACAAGGAGGGUAUGAGAUGGUUCGUGGGUUUGGAGACAACAUGGUCUCGUGGAAUGAGGUCACUCGGGAUGAGUGUGGAUUUGGGUUCGUUAUAUUUUGAAUGGAGCUAUUAUUAUUCCUAAGGCAAGUCUAGAGUAAAUUAGAAGAAGCCGGAUCAAUUAGCAAUAGUUGAAUUGGCAUAAUGGUGGCAAUGAUCAGUUCUUUCGGUGUGUUAAGUUAUACAUGUGAUUUGUGGCGGUUCCUGCGAGGCUCGACGGCCACCGUAAUUGAUUUUAUUUGGAGACAUUUGAGUAUUAUGACCUGUUAUGUGUAGAUGGAUUCCAGAAGGAUUAUGGUGGUUUAGACAACUACUUGCGGUUGUAUUUUCUGCCGUUAUGGGAAUUCAGUCGCAUGUUGCAAUGGUUCUCCUGAAAUGAGUUAAGUGAAAGGUUGCUAUAUGAUAGAGUGUUUAUUCUAUUAGUGGAUCAGGAGUUAUGAUGGAAUUCUUGUACUCCCACGUAUUGGUAUGUUGGGUGUAGUGAGUGGCAUGAGAAUCGGAAGUUGAGGAUCAAGGUUGUAGUUUGGUAUCGACAAGAAUGUCAAGGGCUCGGAUGAUCAGGGAAGAAUUCAGAUGCUUAGAGUAAGCUGGUAUUGUCUUUAGCAUCACCUGAGAUCGGUGUCCUGUGUAAAAGGCUUUGUGUACUUAUUAGAGGAUUCUCGAUUUGCCAUACAACAUUGUGUGGCCAGUGGCAUGGAUGUGCAGACUUGGUUACCUGGUGUGGAAGGUCACGGGAGCGUAUCCCACAGAAAGAUUGUAUAAGUGUGACAUAUAGUCACUUUAUUGAUUAAAGAUUGAAACCAAGUAUGGAGAUUAUGGUACUAUUGCUAAUGUGAGAAUUUAUGCCUGAAGAGCGCUCAGUUCAUUUGGUUGUGGACUGUGGAAGUUUGUUCCGGAUUUGGAGGUUGUUCUUUUAUGUCAUGGGAAAAAGGGGUUAUUGUGGAUCCUUGAAAGGUUAUUAGCCUAGUGCAGUACAAUCAGAAUCGGCUUGAGGUCUGUGGGUGGAUCUAGAGGUGAAUGUGGGCUCUAUAUCAGGCCGGAUGUGUUCAUUUCAGCAUAGCGUUGUUUACACAGGAGUCUUCGGAACUUAGAUGUUAUUUCUGUCGUCAGCUAUUCCAUGUAAUACUUUAUUGUGCCAUGCGGGUUGGGAGAGGGCCUGAUUAUUUGCACAUGUGUUGGGGUCCCGUAUAGCUUGCGGUGUUAUAUGAGCAGGAUGGAUCUUGAGAUGCAGGUCAUUUAUUACACCUUAGUCGUGCUUGAGUUUUGCAGUGUAUGGCGCUAUCUGUCUCCCCCAAUGAUGGUAUUAUUCACUUGGCGUGCUUCUGGUCGACAUUCUGGUAUUUCCCAGGUAUGAGCACUCUAGCUCGGUAAGUAUUUCCUUAUAGAUUGUUAUGUGUAGAUCGGGUGGCACGCCGCCACGGGUAUGUUGGUUGGACCCAGUGGCACGCCGCCAGGGGUAUCAUGAUUGGACCGGGUUGCACACCGCAACAGUAUCAUGUGUGGAUCGGGUUGCACGCCGCAACAGUGUGAUGUUGAGUACAAUUCCCCAUAUCUAUUCUUGUGUAUUUUGUUUCUCAUUUUUUGCCUAUAUCCGGGUAGUUUUAGGUUUACACCAUGCCUUGUUGAUACUGUUAUUUGAUUAUGUUUAUUAUUUGUCUUGGAAAGAAUUGAGGUUGAGUAUGCUUGCUAAUUGCCUUGAAAAGAGUUGAAAUUGAGAAUUUCGAGAUUUGAAAGUUUUCAUUUGAAUUUUGUAUUUUUGAAAAGAAUUGAGGAAAAUUAUAAUAAGUUGAGAAAUCUAUGUUCAACCGCGUGUCGCGCCCUGUUUUCUCGCGAAAGCGGGUUUCGACGUCAUGAAAAAUCUUUUUUGGGGGGGGGGAGAUAGGGUGUUAAAAGAAGAAGAGUCGCCACCUAGUAUUUUUUUAAGGUGCGUUAGGAAACCUAUUUGCAAAUAACUAUGUUUGACUAGUCAACGCCACCAAAGAUCGGGUAAGGGCUCAAAUUACCUCAAAGAGAAGGUGUUAGGCACUCCUCGAGGUCCACAACUGCGGGUCCCGGCCAAACUUAAGACUAUGUGGAUUAUAAUUAGGCAAGAUAAACAAAGAGAGUAUGGGUCAAAUGAAUCUAUUAUAACAUGAGAGAAAUAAGGAUUACAAGGAUACAACUAUUAAGUCUAUGUUAAAUGACUAAUGUGUAAAGAAAAGAGGGGGGUCCUAAGUUUUUUAGCCUAAAGGAUCACCCUGUGCAACAUAAAUAAUACUUCGCAACUCCCUUGAGGUAGGAAAUUAUUCAUAUUAUUCAGCGGGCACAGACUAUUAUCUCCUGCUACCCGAUUACUAUGUUAAAGUUGUUUACCUAAAAGCGCUCUAAUUCAAUUCUAAGUCGUGCUCUAUGCGUACACUACCCGCCCCAUACCUAGGGUCCAGGAGGCAUUGGACCUCUAUUUAGGGCGGUUCUAGACUUAACUUAGGUUGCUCAAAAUAAUAAAACUAGGCGACAUACAAAAUAAGUUGGACUUCAAAUAUGGGCAAUUAAGGGCUCAAGUUAGCCUCCACACUUAGACAAUAAAUUCACGCAAAACAGGUUUUCAUGUUAGGCAGUUUCAGAAUUAAAAUCCUUAAGCCAUAUACGCGUGAUUUCUAGGUGACCUUGGAUUCAAACGCGCAUAUAUAACAUUAUUUCCUUUAGUGGCUUAGACGAGGAGGCAGUAGACCAUCUGCUGUUAACGCCGGUUUUAGAUACCAGUUUUAGAAGAGUGAUAUUGUCCUAUAGACAUGAUAUCUAAUAGUGGCAUAGUUAAACAAAUGAGAAUAGUUCUGGAAACCCAGCCUUGACAAGUAGAUAAACAAUAUUAAGCGAAUGACAGUAUCCUAUAGGUAGGAUCUCUAGCAAUUGACAAUCGAGCCUUGAUUUUAUAACACUUUACCUCUAUGAGCAGGUUACCUAGGCGGAGCAAUAACAAUAAUAGUAGCUAAUUGAUUAAUUAAGGUCCUAUAGACAUGAUUUCUAGGUGAAAAUCAAUAGAACAUAAGCUAGUGGGAUCUUAUAGGUAUGGUAUUUAAUGAAUAUGAAGCAGUUAUGCGGAUUGAGAGAAUGUUUAUUUCUUAUAGGUAUGUUGUCUAGUAACACAUAGCAGUAGAAUAAAAUAGAGUGUUUACACCCGUGCUUCGAUGAUAGACAAGUUAUGUGUGUGUGUGUGAGUUUCCUAAAGGCAUGGUUUCUACCAGUGGAAGCAAGUCAGGUAAAUCACAUGAACCCUAUGGGCAUGUUUUCUACCCUUGCAUGCAAAUAGUAGAUUAUACUCGUUCCCCAAAUUUCACUAACACCCCCAAUUAUUUAUUACAAAGUUAUUACAGACCCAAUGAUGAAUGUAGUUACAAAAUUAUAAAAGCACUAAUAGUAGGCCCGCAGCAGGCCCAAAAGGAAAUACCCAGCAUUGCCUGGGCCUUCAACAACUCUCAUAGCAUACCCAGAUUUCCAACAUGGAACUAUAUUCAUCAGCACAGCCCGGAAAUCAUAGAGGAAUUCAAGCCAAACCAAACAGCAAUAGAUUGACCAUAUUACCCAAACAUUAAAUCACUUAAACCAACCAAUUUACAUAUUCAGUAGAUAGAAUGAGGGGAGAACUGAGUGUUAGAGAUAGCUCAAGCCUCAGUAGUAAAGAGAGUGGCUAAAAGACCCCAAAUCCUAGUAUGUCAGAGUUCACAAGAGUCUCAAAUGGACCCCGAGCAGUGCUCACACUAGGGAGGUCAGUAGUAAGAGUCUUAGUGGCCUUGGCUUUUAGCCGGACAAGAAUGAUAGGUUCCGAAUAGCACAGGUACCAAAUAAGAGUCAGUGGACAAUGGUUAAGGGACAAAAAUUGAGGAAAUACACUUAUAGCUUAAAGUAGACAUAGCAUAAUUGAAAACAUAGAACGUACUAGUUAAGAAGGCCAACAAGACUUAGAAGUAGGUUCAACACUUAGCAAAAUAACGCAUUAACAUAAAUGUGUUGAAAGACUUAGGGGAGAAACAAGUUCGCAAGAUUAACAAGAUUAUCAUACAAAGGUGCAUAAUACCAAACAAGUCUAAGUAGGGCACUAACUUAAAAGGUUUAAAGCCUAAAGGUCCAAAUUAUGCUAAGGAUUCAUCACAAUAUCAUAAGACAACCAUGUUAACUUAUAUCAUGAAACAGAACAGUAUCAAACAUGGUAGGGAAACACAAAUUAAGAAUAGCUAUUCCAAAGGUCUCAAAUAAUCACUACGGCUGCAAACCAAAACAUGUUGGGGGACAUACUAACAGAAGACCAAGUCAUAGUUGAUAGUGAGGAUCUUAAGACACAUUAUAGGAGUUCAAAACAGAGUGAAAAUGCAAGCUCAAUGUCAAAUAGCAAAUGUAGACAUUCAGGUAUCAACAUUAGGCUAAUACGAACUUAACAUGGUCUAAAUCAUUCAAGCGAACCAUAUUCAAAUAACAUAUCUCAGAACUGGUAGCUUUAGGUGAAAUUAAAUACUAAAGAGGCUCAAAGCGAGUGUAAAGCUAACAAAGUUGUACACAAAAGUAGUUCAGAAACACAUUGAGCCAUGAAUUUCAGAAAUAAGAAUAUGCAACUCUUAAAAGACACACAAGAACGAAAUUGCAAAAGUCAAGUGACUUACCAGUUAAACGGAUAACAAUAAAGAAAAAAAUUCCACAGUAUUCUGAAUCAACAAAGAGCAAGAACCCAAAAUCUUAAUGCGUCAAAGUUCCCAAGGGCUUCAAAGGAACCCCGGAAAAUGCUCGCACCAAGAAAAUGUUGAAAAAUCGAAUCCCAAUGGCCUUGGCUUUCAGCCGGCAAGUACAGAACAAGAAAAUGAGGGAAUAACAGAACAAAUAGCUUCAAUUUUUUAGUGAAAUCUAACAAUUAAGGUAUAUUUCAAAGGGGAAUGGGGAAAGGUUUAUAUAGUAGUAGAAAUCCGGCAAAGAAAUAAGAAAUAUUGUAAAAUUAACAUAAAUAAGGAAAUAAUAUCAUGUAGAAUCAGCAAAAAGUCAGAUUAGAGAAAGAUUAAGUAAACCCUAAUUAAUCGGAAAUUGGCCGGAGAUCUUAGCUAAUCAGACCCAUAUAGCCUGGCCAUGAUGCAUAUGGACGAGAUAUCAUCCAGAUUUAAGCGAUUGAAGUUGAAUGGCCAGAAUCUGAGAGAUAGUACUUGCCAUGCUGAGGCAAGUACUAAGUGAUACCAUGAUCAUGCGGGUAGUACUAAGAUAACACAUAAAAGGCAAAAAAAUCAUGAAAAGAAUCUAUGGUUGAGACGAAUUUGGAGAAAAUUGAGAUGGCGGCUAGGAUUUCUAAGGAGAGGAGAAGAGAGGAUUCAAGGGCGGAAUAUGAGAGAAAAUGAUAGGGUUUUGGGGCGGGUUAGGUUAACUAAAACGGGAGAAUGGCUAUUGGUCGUUGAUCAUUUGAGAUUAACGGCUAGGAUUAGAGGGGAAGUGAGGUAGGUCACAGAACGGGUCCCGACCGGGUUAUACUAAAGGGGUCAUUUGGUCUUGUCCAGGGGGUUAGGCUAAGGAUACUAGGCGAAUUUUGGUUCAAAAAUUAGUUUAAAGUUGGGCUACUAUUUAAAAUAUACAAAAAUAAUUUAUAAAAACACUUGAUAAAUAAAUAAAAAUAUUUAUGUACUAAAAUAAUUAAAAAUAAUAACUUAGUAUUAUAAAAAUAUAAAAUACUAUUUUGACACAAAUAAUAUAUAUAAAAACAUUUAUGCAUGAGUAUAGGCUAUUACUACAAAAUUGUGCAAAUAGCUUAACAAAUGCUAAUGUAAUUAUAUAAAAUGAAGUAAAAUUAUUUAAAAUAUAUAUUAUAGGUGAAAAUAAUAAUUUUAGGUAACUAAGUCAUCACAAAAUAAUUUGAAGAAGUAAUUAAUAAUUAUUCAAGUAAUUUAAGUACAAGAAAAUCAAUUUAAAAGCUUUAAAAAUUAUGGAAAAUUAUAGAAAAUGCUCGUAUAGAUUUUCAAGCUAAAUAAUGAUGCAAAAAUGAUGUUUUUAAAGUAUAUAUAUACUAUUUUAGAAAAUAUGAGUGCCAAAUUGGGUAUCAACACCGCGUCGCAAAUAUAUUCUGCGAGUGGGGAAAAUUUUCACUACUCUCAUGGAAGCGGGCCGUUCGCCUCGACAAGUUAAUAGAUGCAUCUAUGGUUCGUAUCGUUCGACCCUCAGCAGUGCACAGUUUAUAUUUAUAUGUUGGAUCGGAUCGUACGACCUCGACAUGACUUGCGCAUGAUAAUUCUUUGGAACUAAUAAUAAUUGAUAUUGUUCCAUUGGCUUGAGAUACAAAUUGUUAAAUGAUAAAAAUAAAUUUGGAAAUAUGUAUUAGUAAAAGGAUUGUUUAUUAUUUUUGGCUAUUUAGUUUCCAGUUAUAUUAUGUAAUUCAUGCUUAAUUAUAACAUCGGUAUUUUAUUGUUCGCCCAUAGUAAGUGUCAGAGUCGACCCCACGUCACUACUUCUUCGAGGUUAGACGGGAUACUUACUGGGUACGUGAUUUACGUACUCAUACUACACUUGCUGCACAUUUUUGUAUAGGUACAUAUAUGUCUCGUGGCGUUGUGGGUGCAGAGGCAUGGUUAAUGCUGGGACUUAGGUGAUUGCAUUCCAUGUUACGAUUCGCAGUCAGCAGAGUCUCCUUCAGAGCUAUUUAUAUUUUUCCUGUCUAAUAUGUGUUCCGGACAGAUGUUGUAUUUUAUUUUACUCCUUAGUUGAUGUUCAUGCACUUGUGACACCAGAUUUUGGGGUAAUUAUGGAUUGUUCAGUAUUAUAAUUUUGAAAAUAUUAUCACCUACUCUAUAAAACUUUAUCUCUUAUUAUUUAAUUGAAGGAAAAAAUUUGAUUUCAAAAUACUAAAAUGAGUAAUCAAGUUAAUCAAUUAUCGUUAGCUUGUCCUACAACGGGUUAGGCGCCAUCACGACAUUUAACGGAUUUGAAUCGUGACAGAACUGAUUUCAAUAUCAUAACUAUUAUUUCUAAAGUUGUAAUACAUCCAGAAAACUAUCAAAGAGCUUAUAUUGAAUUACCUCCAAACAGCUUAAGGAGGAAACAUUAUGACCAAAUGAAGGCCAGCCACUCCACAGCUAAAUGCAGAAAAUCAGCAAAUACUCUCAGCAACUUAAGAACAGCAUAAUCAACCACCACUCAAAAUCCCACUAGAAUUGAAACAAAAACCAGUAGAAAAAAAAAGGAAAGAGAAGCAGCUUUGAAUUCUUUCUUUUUGUUAUAUUUUCUGUAUCUAGACUUGAACUUUUCAACUUCUUUAUUUUUUGAAAAAAAAAAAAAUUAGUGUGGGUGAGAAAAGUAGCGUGAGGUUUUUUUGUAGACUUUUGUGUGUGUGAAAGGGAAGUGUGAGGUCUCUUUUAUAGAGUGUAAGAGGAAAAGGGGAGGAUAAAAAGGAAUCUUGUCAGCUAAAAAUUAGGGGAGGGCGUCUAUUUUUUUUAACAGAAAAUAGACAGCUGUCAUAUUUUUUUAGCAGCUGUCCUUUUCUCUAUUUUUUUCAGCACCAUACCCUUUUUUAAAGUAACCUUUUUACCCCAACGUCUAACCUAAUUUCUGGUUUUCAUUACACUUUAACCUCUUUUCUGGAAGCUUCCUAAGUAACUACUCAGAUUCUCUAAUUUUGGUGUACUCUCUAGUCUACUCAAUUCUUGCAAAUUACUUUUCUUUUAACAUUCUAUAUUACCUCCAAACAUGCAGUCUUUUAUCCAAAUUUACGGCUCUUUUUUCCUUAUCACAAUUAAACUAAACAAAGCUAAACUAGCACUAGGAUAACAACACAAAGUAAACCUAAAUUAUCAACUAAUUAACGUAUUAAUUAGGAAAAUAGAUAAUUUAAACAAGCAACACGAUUAUCAAAUGAUUUCAGAUUCAACUAAAACAAAUAACCACUUAGAAAGUCAAAAUAAUUUUAAUUAUAAACCUAAGCAUGCUUGGAUUAACAGAAAUCACCAAUUAACCCAAUCACACACUCACAUGAAAGGCGUGUAUUUGAAAUACUAAUCUAAUCGGACAAUUAAACACACAGAAUGCAAUUGUAGUUCAAGGCAAGACAGUAGUGAUGCUACUUUAUUUUGCUAAAAUGAACUAACUUGAACAAUUACAAUUAACAUAAAAAUUAAUCUGAACUAACGACACAUUAAUGAGAAAAGAGCAGAGGAGAGAAAUACCUAUAGUGUUUGAAUGGGUUGUCAAAAGAAACGGAUUUCCGGCAAGCCGGAGAAAUUGCCACACAAACACUGGCCGGAUUUCUCCAUGCGAGAUAUUGUUCUAUGCAGCAAAUAUCUCCUACUGACCCGAUAAAAUGAAGCAGAACAAGGCGAGGAUGAGUUGUGCGACCCAAUGGAGCUUGACCAAGGUUCUGGUGGUCAUGAGAUCAGUAAAGUUCAUGCAAUCAUCAAGAGAAGUCAACUGGUGUAGGUUUCGAUCUCAAAUGAGCCAGAAUUAGGGACAAAUUAAAAAAGGGAAAACUUUAAGGUUUUUGCGAUUUCUUAGAUUUGAAAUUAAAGGAUUUUGGGGAGGUUUUCUGGGAAAAUUGGUAGGAGAUUUGGGAUUAGGAGGGGAAGGAGAUUGUAUGGUGAUAAAAUUGGGCCAUUUGGUAUGGUGCCGCCGCCAUAGGGUGAUUUUCGGCGGCGGUAUGUCAGGAGAAGGGUAAUAGAUUGAGAGAUGGGGGAAAUGAAG
This 33459-nucleotide long non-coding RNA is filed under the name Nicotiana tabacum (common tobacco). Its description in RNAcentral is "long non-coding RNA (NTAB_LNC012621)". The record is from RNAcentral. Lineage: Eukaryota; Viridiplantae; Streptophyta; Magnoliopsida; Solanales; Solanaceae.